GGCUGUCAUCCUGCUCCACUGAUGUCUUUUUUUUUUCUUGUAGAAUCACAGAAUCACCACAGCUGGAAAAGACCUUCAAGAUCAUCGAAUCCAACCGUCUUUCCGUGCCAGCAGGUGGUUUGCAGAAGCAGAGGGUGAAGCUACGCCCUCUGCUUUCUUCAUCUGCCUCAUUGUGCGUCAUGACACUCCCCAGCUCUGGAAGAAGCUGUUGAUUUAGGUCCGCUGCCCUCACUUCCUGUUGUAUCCUCCCCAAAACCUGUUUGUCCCAUCAGCAGUUCUUAUUCCAGUUUCCAAAGCCACACCUGCCUUUUUAUUUGUUUGUUGUAAUCUCCUUUGAAGGGUACAUUCUGUUUAUGUUAUGAACUUGACUUUUCCCCUUUGUGCACUUGCAACACUACCUGAAAUUUGAAAACAGCCCCUCACUUAUCUGUUGUAGCCACAGAUUAGAGUAGGCUACCUUGAUAUAAAUGCAGUAUUGGCAUAAACAUUUAGGAGCAACUUGGGCCAAGAAUAGUAGGAUUAAAUCUUACUCUGCCAGAAAA
Numida meleagris (helmeted guineafowl) is the source of this 542-nucleotide long non-coding RNA. RefSeq lists it as uncharacterized. Lineage: Eukaryota; Metazoa; Chordata; Aves; Galliformes; Numididae. The transcript has 2 exons. The record is from RefSeq and is a predicted model, not a curated record.